RNAcentral lists this ribosomal RNA (484 nucleotides) under uncultured Clostridium sp. RNAcentral's name for it is "partial 16S ribosomal RNA". Lineage: Bacteria; Bacillati; Bacillota; Clostridia; Eubacteriales; Clostridiaceae. The record is from RNAcentral.
CACGUAGUUAGCCGUGGCUUCCUCCUCAGGUACCGUCAUUAUCGUCCCUGAAGACAGAGCUUUACAACCCGAAGGCCGUCAUCACUCACGCGGCGUUGCUGCAUCAGGGUUUCCCCCAUUGUGCAAUAUUCCCCACUGCUGCCUCCCGUAGGAGUCUGGGCCGUGUCUUAGUCCCAAUGUGGCCGAUCACCCUCUCAGGUCGGCUACGCAUCGUCGCCUUGGUGAGCCCGUUACCUCACCAACUAGCUAAUGCGCCGCGGGCCCAUCUCAUAGCGGAUUACUCCUUUAAUUGCUGUACCAUGCGGUACUACAAUCUUAUGCGGUAUUAAUCUUCCUUUCGAAAGGCUAUUCCCCUCUAUGAGGCAGGUUACCCACGUGUUACUCACCCGUCCGCCGCUAAUCCAUUUCCCGAAGGAAUUUCAUCGCUCGACUUGCAUGUGUUAGGCACGCCGCCAGCGUUCGUCCUGAGCCAGGAUCAAACUCU